AUUGCCUUUGAACCUGUCUGAUUAAGAGGCCAUUUUUGUAAUUCAAAUAUUGGAGUGAGCCUAGGCUCCAGAAUUUUAGCAAGUGUUCGAUUUGUGGGGGGUCCUCAACGUCUGGAAUUAUCUGGGUGUCUUGCUCAAUAAAUUCGAAAAUGCGUCUAAGGUCAAGGUCACCCUUUUUUCUUGCUGGACUAUUCCCAAGAUAAUGCCAAGAACGGGAAGCAUCCUCCUUAUCAUCGGUCAUGUACUGAACAAAGUCUGCCUCGCCACUCUGGUGGUUUAGAACUCCCAAAGUGACGGAUAACUUGUCAAUGACUACAAGUCCAAAGUUGCACGCCAAACCCAGGUUGACGUGCAGGAUUUCAGUGUGAAACUGCAGCAUAGGGGCGUCAAAUAUUAUGUAAUAUUGUCGACAUAACGGUUUUGUAUUACUAAAAAUGUAGGUCUCCCAGCGUAUGCUCUCAGAUUUUGGCCAAAUUAGUGCCGAUCAAUCACAAAUUUAAUAAAUAUGAAAUUUGCAAAAGACAUGACCUCCCUUGGCGGAAAUAUUGCAUCCGAAGAGGAGAAAACGGACCUUAAAGUUGACAAAUUUUACACUUUGCAAAUUUUCUCCUCUUCGUAUGCGAAUAUCUCUGCCAAACCUGAGCCCUGGCAGAUCGUGGUUUUUUCAAAUUUGGUGUCGAUUAAAUUAGUGAUCGAUUGACACGAGUUGGGUCAAAAUCUGAGCGCAUACGCUGGGAGACUUCCAUCGUAAGAACACACUUUAUCAUCCCAAAUAUAAGUUGUUGCAUCAAUCUGAAGUUUCGGAGAGACCAAUGGUAUCCAAAUACGGGUAAUAUCGUGCCCAUCACUUUCCUCACUCAUUUGCACUCCAGCAAAUAUGGCCAGUCCGGUUUCUGGUACUUUGAAUUUACGAGUACGUUAAGUUAAUAUUUAUGGACCAGCAACCAAAGUCAGUGAGAUUAGUAAAGAUAUGUGUAGAACUAUUUAUAAAUAGUACCAGUCAUUUUGGGGUCGAAUUUCGUAAUCACCCAUCCAAUGGCUUUUUCUUUAAAGGAGUAACGCUCCUUGAUUCGAGACCGCGAGACGAUGCUUUUAUCCAGGAUUAAUUUUUUCCGGAUGUGUUGCAAAUCUUGGCCAUGUUGAAGGAGGAGUGAGAAGCAAAGGUUAAAUUUCGAUUUUCUAUAGAAUUAUUUUAGAUUAAUAAAAUAUGUAAAUAUGCAUGCAAAUUAUUAUUCACGAUAAUUAUUAUUCAAGUUACUCACGAUUCAAACUGUUUCAAGCUGCUCUUUAACACAGCGAUCUUUU
Folsomia candida is the source of this 1305-nucleotide long non-coding RNA. RefSeq lists it as uncharacterized. NCBI's taxonomy places the organism in Eukaryota, Metazoa, Arthropoda, Collembola, Entomobryomorpha, Isotomidae. The record is from RefSeq and is a predicted model, not a curated record. The transcript has 3 exons.